UAGGGAAUCUUCGGCAAUGGGGGGAACCCUGACCGAGCAACGCCGCGUGAGUGAAGAAGGUUUUCGGAUCGUAAAGCUCUGUUGUUAAGGAAGAACGAGUGUGAGAAUGGAAAGUUCAUGCUGUGACGGUACUUAACCAGAAAGGGACGGCUAACUACGUGCCAGCAGCCGCGGUAAUACGUAGGUCCCGAGCGUUGUCCGGAUUUAUUGGGCGUAAAGCGAGCGCAGGCGGUUAGAAAAGUCUGAAGUGAAAGGCAGUGGCUCAACCAUUGUAGGCUUUGGAAACUGUUUAACUUGAGUGCAGAAGGGGAGAGUGGAAUUCCAUGUGUAGCGGUGACAUGCGUAGGUAUAUGGAGGAACACCGGUGGCGAAAGCGGCUCUCUGGUCUGUAACUGACGCUGAGGCUCGAAAGCGUGGGGAGCGAACAGG
Molecule: ribosomal RNA, 429 nt
Filed under: Bacteroidota bacterium
Lineage: Bacteria; Pseudomonadati; Bacteroidota
Description: Bacteroidetes bacterium partial 16S ribosomal RNA
Rfam family: Bacterial small subunit ribosomal RNA
Source: RNAcentral